AAUACUAAGCAGUCUUGGGAUCCGGUUGAGGUCACAAACCCAGUCCAGUUAGGUCAUUUCCUCUGGCAGCCCUCAGAACAGCUUAGGCACAGCAGGAGGAAAGGAUGCUGGUUUGGUUGAUCCAAGGAGGAGACUAGUCAAUGGGUCCAAUGACAGAUGAGUGUGCUGAGCCAUUUAUGUUAUUGUCUAUCCUAUAAAUUAACAUUGGGAGAAAAUACCUUGGAAGGAGUUGUGAAAUCUGGAGAUAAUAUAGAAGAUACUUGAACUGAGCCUCAGAAGCAAAAAUGAAGGGGAAAAAAAUGAUAACAACAGAACUUGGAAAUUAGAUGAAACAUCAGAAGGCUGAAGGGGGUUCAAGGAGAGAAGUCAAAAUAUCCAGAAGGAA
This 385-nucleotide long non-coding RNA is filed under the name Vulpes vulpes (red fox). Its description in RNAcentral is "lncRNA (ENSVVUG00000029010.1)". Lineage: Eukaryota; Metazoa; Chordata; Mammalia; Carnivora; Canidae. The record is from RNAcentral.